GAGAGGUGGUCGAGUGGUUGAAGGCACCAGUCUUGAAAAUUGGCGUGCGUUUGUAGCGUACCGUGGGUUCGAAUCCCACCCUCUCC
RNAcentral lists this transfer RNA (86 nucleotides) under mouse gut metagenome. It matches the Rfam family "tRNA". From Rfam's summary of the family: Transfer RNA (tRNA) molecules are approximately 80 nucleotides in length. Their secondary structure includes four short double-helical elements and three loops (D, anti-codon, and T loops). The record is from RNAcentral. RNAcentral also lists the same sequence under 1 other name.